Long non-coding RNA from Anthonomus grandis grandis, 1294 nucleotides. RefSeq lists it as uncharacterized. The transcript is spliced from 2 exons. The record is from RefSeq and is a predicted model, not a curated record. Lineage: Eukaryota; Metazoa; Arthropoda; Insecta; Coleoptera; Curculionidae.
ACUUGAUAACGGUUGGAGAUACUUACCAACCGAAACGUCGUGUUACAAUAAAUAAAUAAGACAAUGCAAGUCCGACAAGAUGUUUUCACUGUACCAUUGUCUACCACCUUCAGAAACAACGAUUAUCUGUGUUUUAAAAUAAUUUAUUAAGAUUCCACUAAAAGAAGAGGAGUGGGAACAAGUUGCCUCAGAGUUUAACGAAAAAUGGAAUUUUUGGAAUUGCCUAGGUGCUAUAGAUGGCAAACAUAUUAAUAUUAUUAAACCACAGAAUGCAGGGUCCAGAUAUUUUAACUAUAAAGGAUAUCACAGUGUGGUGUUGAUGGCCAUUUAGAUGCCAAUUACAAUUACUUGAUGGUUGACGGACGACAAAACGAUAGAAUUUCAGAUGGUGGCGUGGUCUACAAUACAAAAUUUUGGGAGUUGCUACAAAAUAAUAUGUUAAAUAUUCCCGAACCUUCAAAAUUUCCAGCUACAGAUGUCUACUGUCCUUAUGUAUUUGUUGAGGAUGGUGCCUUUGCUUUGAGUACCAAUUUAAUGAAACCAUAUAAUCGAGAACACGCGGCAAGAUCUCAACGUAUUUUUAACUACCGUUUAUCCAGAGCCCGAAGAGUAGUGGAAAAUGCCUUUGGAAUCCUUGUUACGAGAUUUGGAAUUUUUCAGAAGCCCAUAAAUUUGUCCCCGGAAAAAGUUGCUACAGUUACAUUGGCAUAUUGCUAUCUACAUAAUUUUUUAAUGCGAAAAAAGAAGGAAUAUUGCACAAAUAAUGUUUUAAUAACAGAAAAUUUGAGAACAGGACAAUGUGAAGUUGGAACUGAAAUGUCAGAAAACGAAUUGAUUCCACUUCAAAAAGGCACAUUUAGAAACUUUUCCAAAAGUGCGAAAGAAGUCAGAGAUCAUUAUCAAAAUUACUUCAAUAAGGAGGGGCAGAUACCUUGGCAGGACAAUAUAGUUUAGAAACUAUAAAAAUAGGAUUAAGAGCAUAUGUACAACAAAAAAUAAGAAUAAAAUGAUAAUACGCUUGUCUCUGAUAUUGUAGAUCUUCUGGUACAGUAAAGCCUCGAUAGUCCGGACUAAUAAAAACGACGGUGAUCCGGAUUAACGAAAAAUUCGGAUUACUGAAACAUGAUGUCUUUUUACAUACAUAUAUGUUUUUUAUUAGGGAAUAUUAUAUGUGUAUAACUAAAAAAUUGCCUACAAAUAUGUGAUAAACGAGAAAAACAUACAAAUUAAAAGGAGAAACUAAAUUACAUGUUUGCUUUGUAGUAGGUACAUAAUAAAGCUAAUUAAAAAAGUC